UGCCAGGAUGAUGGAAAGGCUGAGGAA
This 27-nucleotide non-coding RNA is filed under the name Rattus norvegicus (Norway rat). The record is from RNAcentral. Lineage: Eukaryota; Metazoa; Chordata; Mammalia; Rodentia; Muridae.